AAUUCGAUGCAACGCGAAGAACCUUACCUGGUCUUGACAUCCCGGAGACCUUAGGAACAGGGGUGCUUCCAUCUGAAGAAUCUGGAGACAGGUGCUGCAUGGCUGUCGUCAGCUCGUGUCGUGAGAUGUUGGGUUAAGUCCCGCAACGAGCGCAACCCUUGCCUUUAGUUGCCAGCAGUUCGGCUGGGCACUCUAAAGGGACUGCCGGUGUUAAACCGGAGGAAGGUGGGGAUGACGUCAAGUCCUCAUGGCCUUUAUGACCAGGGCUACACACGUACUACAAUGGCCGAUACAAAGGGCAGCGACACUGCGAGGUGAAGCCAAUCCCGUAAAAUCGGUCUCAGUCCGGAUUGGAGUCUGCAACUCGACUCCAUGAAGUUGGAAUCGCUAGUAAUCGUGGAUCAGCAUGCCACGGUGAAUACGUUCCCGGGCCUU
This 435-nucleotide ribosomal RNA is filed under the name uncultured Desulfobulbus sp. RNAcentral describes it as "bacterial SSU rRNA". It matches the Rfam family "Bacterial small subunit ribosomal RNA", at positions 948 to 1382 of the family's 1533-position model. Lineage: Bacteria; Pseudomonadati; Thermodesulfobacteriota; Desulfobulbia; Desulfobulbales; Desulfobulbaceae. The record is from RNAcentral.